This 1171-nucleotide ribosomal RNA is filed under the name Leifsonia sp. D69. RNAcentral's name for it is "bacterial SSU rRNA". It matches the Rfam family "Bacterial small subunit ribosomal RNA", at positions 60 to 1229 of the family's 1533-position model. Lineage: Bacteria; Bacillati; Actinomycetota; Actinomycetes; Micrococcales; Microbacteriaceae. The record is from RNAcentral.
AGUCGAACGAUGAAGCAGAGCUUGCUCUGUGGAUUAGUGGCGAACGGGUGAGUAACACGUGAGUAACCUGCCCUUGACUCUGGAAUAAGCGUUGGAAACGACGUCUAAUACUGGAUACGAGCUUCAGCCGCAUGGCUAGGAGCUGGAAAGAAUUUCGGUCAAGGAUGGACUCGCGGCCUAUCAGGUAGUUGGUGAGGUAAUGGCUCACCAAGCCUACGACGGGUAGCCGGCCUGAGAGGGUGACCGGCCACACUGGAACUGAGACACGGUCCAGACUCCUACGGGAGGCAGCAGUGGGGAAUAUUGCACAAUGGGCGAAAGCCUGAUGCAGCAACGCCGCGUGAGGGACGACGGCCUUCGGGUUGUAAACCUCUUUUAGUAGGGAAGAAGCGAUGUGCUUGUCACAUCAUGACGGUACCUGCAGAAAAAGCACCGGCUAACUACGUGCCAGCAGCCGCGGUAAUACGUAGGGUGCAAGCGUUAUCCGGAAUUAUUGGGCGUAAAGAGCUCGUAGGCGGUUUGUCGCGUCUGCUGUGAAAACCGGAGGCUCAACCUCCGGCCUGCAGUGGGUACGGGCAGACUAGAGUGCGGUAGGGGAGAUUGGAAUUCCUGGUGUAGCGGUGGAAUGCGCAGAUAUCAGGAGGAACACCGAUGGCGAAGGCAGAUCUCUGGGCCGUAACUGACGCUGAGGAGCGAAAGCAUGGGGAGCGAACAGGAUUAGAUACCCUGGUAGUCCAUGCCGUAAACGUUGGGAACUAGAUGUAGGGACCAUUCCACGGUUUCUGUGUCGCAGCUAACGCAUUAAGUUCCCCGCCUGGGGAGUACGGCCGCAAGGCUAAAACUCAAAGGAAUUGACGGGGGCCCGCACAAGCGGCGGAGCAUGCGGAUUAAUUCGAUGCAACGCGAAGAACCUUACCAAGACUUGACAUAUACGAGAACGGGCUAGAAAUAGUUCACUCUUUGGACACUCGUAAACAGGUGGUGCAUGGUUGUCGUCAGCUCGUGUCGUGAGAUGUUGGGGUAAGUCCCGCAACGAGCGCAACCCUCGUUCUUUGUUGCCAGCACGUAAUGGUGGGAACUCAAAGGAGACUGCCGGGGUCAACUCGGAGGAAGGUGGGGAUGACGUCAAAUCAUCAUGUCCCCUUAUGUCUUGGGCUUCACGCAUGCUACA